GAGAGAGUACAGAGGAGAGAGAGUACAGAGGAGAGAGAGAGAGAGGUGGAGAGAGAGAGAGAGAGAGAGAGAGAGAGAGAGAGAGAGAGAGAGAGAGAGAGAGAGAGAGAGAGAGAGAGAGAGAGAGAGAGAGAGAGAGAGAGAGAGAGAGAGAGAGAGAGAGAGAGAGAGAGAGAGAGAAAGAGAGAGAGAGAGAGAGAGGGCCCCUUGUUCAAACAAACAGGGGCGUUUGGGGUACUGGACCUCGAGUGGCAAGAUGCCAUAACAAACCUCUCUCUCUCUCUCUCUCUCUCUCACUCUCUCUCUCUCUCUCUCUCUUUCACUUUCUCUCUCUCUCUCUCUCUCUCUCUCUCUCUCUCUCUCUCUCUCUCUCUCUCUCUCUCUCUCUCUCUCUCUCUCUCUCUCUCUUUCACUUUCUCUCUCUCUCUCUCUCUCUCUCUCUCUCUCUCUCUCUCUCUCUCUCUCUCUCUUUCACUUUCUCUCUCUCUCUCUUUCACUUUCUCUCUCUCUCUCUUUCACACCCUCUCUCUCUCUCUCUCUCAAGCAGGGGGGGCAACCGGGGGCCCCGGGUGUGUAGUGGUAGCCACGGCGACCAGACUGCAACAUGGCGGCGGCCGGAGGUGUGGAGCGACAGCAGACCGGAGCCCUAAAGGUGUGUGACGGAGGCUCCUGGGCCUCACUCCUCCACACUAAAGAAAAGAGAUGGAACCAACAGCCAUCAUAUAUUGUUACCGUACAGAAGCCGUGCCUGAGGAGGGCAGCACACAUGGCUGGAGCUGAGAGGGGGAGAGCUGGCCAGGUAAGUAGCUAUCAUCAUAGGAGCACACACACGCACACACACACAGAAACAGUCACACACACACACACACACACACGCAUAGCCACAUCGACGCUGACACACAUACUCAUAAACAUAAACACACACACACACACACACACACACACAUACACACACACGCAUUCCCAAAUGGACGUUGACACACACACUCACAUACAUAAACACAUCCAUGCACAGCCACACACACACAGACCCACAGACACACACACACACCAACACACACACCCCAACACACAUACACACAUACAAACUCGAACACACACACACCUACACACACACACACACACACACACACACACACACACAUUUGCACACACACACACACACACACACACACACAUACAUUCACACUUAUGAACAUACAUUCACACAAACACUCAAACUCACACACAGACACACACACCGGCACACAAACACACACGCAAACACAUGGCCGUCUAUUUGUGUUUUGCAGGUCUGCCCGGAGCGAUGGGAAUUAGCCAGCUUUCAUUGCAGGAUAUUAAAACCGCCGGUAGGACGCGGGUUCGAGUUCCCCCGGCCCUAGUGUGGUGUGCCUGUUUGUGUACCUUGGAAAGUGAGAGAGUGAGAGAGAGAGUGAGAGAGAGAGUAGCAAAGGAAACAGAACCAAAGAGAAAGGGAUAAAGAGUUCUUAUUGAUUGGGAUUAAUUGCUAAUGGCGUCAGGCUUUUUGAAAUAAUAUACAGAGCUCUAAAGAGGUUAUUAUACGUUCACCAAGAUUUAGCCUGAACCUAGGUGUAGUGGAACAGAAACAGAGGUGUUUAUGUGUGUAUGUUGAAAAGGUGUGUGUCAAAGCGUAUUAGGGGUGCACAUAUAUGUUCGUAUGAUUAGCUUCCGGGCCUUCGGCUACGGUGUCAGUGUUUACAGUAAUGUGUGUGUGAUUUCAGGACGGGGGAUAAGAACAUAAUUUAAAUUUGGUAGAGAGGUUGAUAUUGCGUUUCGGUUGUGUGUUCCUGCUCUGAGGCAACCCACAUCUUAUUUUAAGAUGUGAAAUGUGUACUUCGACUGAAGGUAGGGUCACUCAACUGGGAGAUCUGGAGAGAGGCCAUGUAAUUUCUAGAUUCCUCAACUUGUUUUUGUUUUACCUGAAUAUAAACAAAUGGCCCAACACUGCCAUAUUCCUACUGUGAGUUAUACAAUUUUACACGUAUCGUAGAAGUACUGAUUUAAUCCAUUUCAUGCUUAUAUGAUUUGAUCUGGGGGCAGAACCAAGGGCCUAGUGUGACUAAUUGGUUUGAUCCCCCAUGCGUCUGUUUGAUCCUCCUGUCUCACCCCACCCCAUGUCUGUAUCCUUGUCUUUGGAAUCCUGUCCCACCCUACCCCAUGUCUGCAGAUCUGUCUUUGGAAUCCUGUCUCACUUCCCGUGUCUAUAGACUUGCCUUUUUUAUCCUGUCUCACCCCACCUAAUGUCUGCAGACUUGUCUUACACAUUCUGUCUCACCCCACCCCAUGUCUGCAGACUUGCUGGAGGCAUUCUGUCUCACCCCACCCCAUGUCUGCAGACUUACUGGAGGCAUUCUGUCGCACACCACCCUAUGUCUGAAGACUUGCUGGAGGCAUUCUGUCUCACCCCACUCCAUGUCUGCAGACUUGCCGUCGGCAUCCUGUCGCACACCACCCUAUGUCUGAAGACUUGUCUUUGGAUUCCUGUCUCACCCGUCUCAACCCACCCCAUGUCUGCAGACUUGAAGUUCGUAACCUGUCGCAACCCACUCCACGUCUGCAGACCUGCCGUCGGCAUCCUGUCUAUGGAAUAUAGCAAAACAAGCUCCGGACCAUAAUCCCCAAGGCAAGAGGAAGCCUGGAAGAAUUCAAUCCAACUGACUGCUUGAUGACCUGACCAAGACGGGGACCUUCUGGCAAGAAGCAAAGACCAUCGAGCAGAGGAGAGUGAGGUGGAGAUCCACGGUGGACACCCUAUUCUCCCAAGGGAGCCGAAUAGAUUAAAGAAGAAAGAAAAAUGGCUUCAACUGGGCUUUGCUUCAAUAAUACUUAACAGUGAACAGCAGAACUUGGAAAUAGGAAACUUACAAGGAGGGGGAAAAAGGACUUUAAGAAUGAUUAAUUAGUUCAUUUUUCCCAUGAUCAAUUUCCCUGACCAAAAUAUUCAACUUCCCUGCUGAUUUGGGGGUUACGCUUUAAUUAUUCACAUGGGACUGCAGUAAUCCCACACAAUGGUUGAGCCCUGACUCAUAUAUUACCUUCUGAUGUAUUAAUUACAUUGGAUCAAGUGUUAAUUGUCGAUAAAGUUGCAAUAGUGCCG
Molecule: long non-coding RNA, 3118 nt
Filed under: Gadus morhua (Atlantic cod)
Lineage: Eukaryota; Metazoa; Chordata; Actinopteri; Gadiformes; Gadidae
Description: lncRNA (ENSGMOG00000034724.1)
Source: RNAcentral